Molecule: ribosomal RNA, 253 nt
Filed under: uncultured bacterium
Lineage: Bacteria
Description: partial 16S ribosomal RNA
Rfam family: Bacterial small subunit ribosomal RNA
Source: RNAcentral
GACGAACCGUGCAAACGUUAUUCGGAAUCACUGGGCUUAAAGGGCGCGUAGGCGGGCUGGCCAGUCUGUGGUGAAAUCCCCCGGCUUAACCGGGGAACUGCCGUGGAUACUGCCAGUCUCGAGGAGGGUAGGGGCAUCUGGAACAGCCGGUGGAGCGGUGAAAUGCGUUGAUAUCGGAAGGAACGCCGGUGGCGAAAGCGACGUACUGGACCUCUUCUGACGCUGAGGCGCGAAAGCUAGGGGAGCAAACGGG